CACCGGCAGCUCUAGUGGUAGCAGUUUUUAUUGGGCCUAAAGCGUCCGUAGCCGGUUUAAUAAGUCUCUGGUGAAAUCUUGCAGCUUAACUGUGGGAAUUGCUGGAGAUACUAUUAGGCUUGAGAUCGGGAGAGGUUAGAGGUACUCCCAGGGUAGAGGUGAAAUUCUGUAAUCCUGGGUGGACCACCUGUGGCGAAGGCGUCUAGCUGGAACGAUUCUGACGGUGAGGGACGAAAGCUAGGGGCGCGAA
RNAcentral lists this ribosomal RNA (250 nucleotides) under uncultured archaeon. Its description in RNAcentral is "partial 16S ribosomal RNA". It matches the Rfam family "Archaeal small subunit ribosomal RNA", at positions 474 to 723 of the family's 1478-position model. The record is from RNAcentral.